GACGAACGCUGGCGGCAGGCUUAACACAUGCAAGUCGAACGCAUCCUUCGGGGUGAGUGGCAGACGGGUGAGUAACGCGUGGGAACGUGCCCUUCAGUUCGGGAUAACACAGGGAAACUUGGGCUAAUACCGGAUACGUGCGAGAGCAGAAAGAUUUAUCGCUGAAGGAUCGGCCCGCGUCUGAUUAGCUAGUUGGUGGGGUAAUGGCCCACCAAGGCGACGAUCUGUAGCUGGUCUGAGAGGAUGAUCAGCCACAUUGGGACUGAGAAACGGCCCACACUCCUACGGGAGGCAGCAGUGUGGAAUAUUGGACAAUGGGCGCAAGCCUGAUCCAGCCAUGCCGCGUGAGUGAUGAAGGCCUUAGGGUUGUAAAGCUCUUUCGUCCGGGACGAUAAUGACGGUACCGGAAGAAGAAGCCCCGGCUAACUUCGUGCCAGCCGCCGCUGUAA
This 449-nucleotide ribosomal RNA is filed under the name uncultured bacterium. Its description in RNAcentral is "partial 16S ribosomal RNA". It matches the Rfam family "Bacterial small subunit ribosomal RNA", at positions 28 to 523 of the family's 1533-position model. The record is from RNAcentral.